GCCAAACAGCUAGCUUAAACAUUAAAUUAAUACAACAACAUAAAUAAAAUAAAAUGAACCUAAAUCUACAAACUAAACCAUUUUUCCACCUUAGUACGGGCGACAGAAAAGGUAAACUUAAGCAAUAAAGAGAGUACCGCAAGGGAAAGCUGAAAGAGUAAUGAAAUAAUCCAUAUAAGCACAAAAAAGCAGAGCUCAAACCUCGUACCUUUUGCAUCAUGAUUUAGCCAGUAAUAAACAAGCAAAGCGACCUUUAGUUUGUAACCCCGAAACCAAGUGAGCUACCCCGGGACAGCCUAUCGGGCCAACCCUUCUCUGUGGCAAAAGAGUGGGAAGAGCCCCGGGUAGAGGUGAUAAGCCUACCGAACUUGGUGAUAGCUGGUUGCCUAAGAAAUGAAUAGAAGUUCAGCCUCAUACACCCUCUAAUCAAUUAAGAAACAUCUAAAUUAAGUAAAAAGCAAAAUAUGAGAGUUAGUUGAAGGGGGUACAGCCCCUUUAACCAAGGACACAACCUUAAACAGGAGGAUAAGGGUCAAAUUUUCCAAAACCAGUCGCCUCAGUGGGCCUAAAAGCAGCCAUCUGAACAGAAAGCGUUAAAGCUCAAGCGACAUAAAGUUUAUUAUUCUGAUAAACAACCCCACUCCCCUUAUAUUAUUAGGCCAUUCCAUGCCCACAUGGAAGAGACUAUGCUAAAAUGAGUAACAAGAGGGCACGACCCUCUCCUAGCACAAGUGUAAUUUAGACCGGACUAACCACUGAAAAUUAACGAACCCAGAAAAAGAGGGCAGUGUUGACAAUAAAAAAAUCAAGAAAACCCCACAACACCUGAAUCGUAAAACCCACACUGGAGUGCUAUCCAGGAAAGACUAAAAGAAAAGGAAGGAACUCGGCAAACAUAAGCCUCGCCUGUUUACCAAAAACAUCGCCUCCUGCAAACCCCAAUGUAUAGGAGGUCCAGCCUGCCCGGUGACUACAAGUUUAACGGCCGCGGUAUUUUGACCGUGCAAAGGUAGCGCAAUCACUUGUCUUUUAAAUGAAGACCCGUAUGAAUGGCCAAACGAGGGCUUAACUGUCUCCCCUUUCUAGUCAGUGAAAUUGAUCUACCCGUGCAGAAGCGGGUAUAAUAAUACAAGACGAGAAGACCCUUUGGAGCUUAAGGUACAAACCCACCUAUGUUAAACAACUUAUUAACAAAGUAUAAACCUAGUAGAGAAUGAAGUUUUACCUUCGGUUGGGGCGACCAUGGAGAAUAAAAAAUCCUCCAAGUGGAAUGGGAUAAAUCCUAAAACUAAGAGAGACAUCUCUAAGUCACAGAAAUUCUGACCAAUUAUGAUCCGGCCACUAGGCCGAUCAACGAACCAAGUUACCCUAGGGAUAACAGCGCAAUCCCCUCCGAGAGUUCAUAUCGACGAGAGGGUUUACGACCUCGAUGUUGGAUCAGGACAUCCUAAUGGUGCAGCCGCUAUUAAGGGUUCGUUUGUUCAACGAUUAAAGUCCUACGUGAUCUGAGUUCAGACCGGAGCAAUCCAGGUCAGUUUCUAUCUGUAAAGUCGUUUUUCCUAGUACGAAAGGACCGGAAAAGAAAGGCCCAUGCCAAAGGCACGCCUUACCCCUAAUUAAUGAAGACAACUAAAUUAAGUAAAGGGGGGCCAAACACGUGCCAAAAUAAGGCCAC
This 1675-nucleotide ribosomal RNA is filed under the name Lefua echigonia. RNAcentral describes it as "16S rRNA". It matches the Rfam family "Bacterial large subunit ribosomal RNA". Lineage: Eukaryota; Metazoa; Chordata; Actinopteri; Cypriniformes; Nemacheilidae. The record is from RNAcentral.